RNAcentral lists this ribosomal RNA (492 nucleotides) under uncultured bacterium. RNAcentral describes it as "partial 16S ribosomal RNA". It matches the Rfam family "Bacterial small subunit ribosomal RNA", at positions 29 to 507 of the family's 1533-position model. The record is from RNAcentral.
AGUGAACGCUGGCGGUAGGCCUAACACAUGCCAGUCGAACGGCAGCACAGUAAGAGCUUGCUCUUACGGGUGGCGGGUGGCGGGCGGGUGAGGAAUACAUCGGACUCUACUUUUUCGUGGGGGUUCACGUAGGGAAACUUACGCUAAUACAGCAUACGCCCUACGGGUGAAAGCAGGGGAUCUUCAGGCCUUGCGCGAUUGAAUGAGCCGAUGUCGGAUUAGCUAGUUGGCGGGGUAAAGGCCCACCAAGGCGACGAUCCGUAGCUGGUCUGAGAGGAUGAUCGGCCACACUGGAACUGAGACACGGCCCAGACUCCUACGGGAGGCAGCAGUGGGGAAUAUUGGACAAUGGGCGCAAGCCUGAUCGAGCCAUGCCGCGUGGGUGAAGAAGGCUUUAGGGUUGUAAAGCCCUUUUGUUGGGAAAGAAAAGCAGCAGGUGAAUAUGCCGCUGUUCUGACGGUACCCAAAGAAUAAGCACCGGCUAACUUCGUG